GAUGAACGCUAGCUACAGGCUUAACACAUGCAAGUCGAGGGGCAGCGGUAUCGAAAGCUUGCUUUCGGUAGCCGGCGACCGGCGCACGGGUGAGUAACGCGUAUCGAACCUGCCUCAUACUCGGGAAUAGCCUUGCGAAAGUAAGAUUAAUGCCCGGUGUUUUCAGAGUCCCGCAUGAGGCUUCGAACAAAGAUUUAUCGGUGUGAGAUGGCGAUGCGUCCCAUUAGCUUGUUGGCGGGGUAACGGCCCACCAAGGCAUCGAUGGGUAGGGGUUCUGAGAGGAAGGUCCCCCACAUUGGAACUGAGACACGGUCCAAACUCCUACGGGAGGCAGCAGUGAGGAAUAUUGGUCAAUGGGCGGAAGCCUGAACCAGCCAGUAGCGUGCAGGAAGACGGCCCUCCGGGUUGUAAACUGCUUUUAGUUGGGAAUAAAACGGGGCUCGUGAGCCCCCUUGCUUGUACCAUCAGAAAAAGGACCGGCUAAUUCCGUGCCAGCCGCCGCGGUAA
This 507-nucleotide ribosomal RNA is filed under the name uncultured bacterium. RNAcentral describes it as "partial 16S ribosomal RNA". It matches the Rfam family "Bacterial small subunit ribosomal RNA", at positions 28 to 523 of the family's 1533-position model. The record is from RNAcentral.